This 429-nucleotide ribosomal RNA is filed under the name Bacteroidota bacterium. Its description in RNAcentral is "Bacteroidetes bacterium partial 16S ribosomal RNA". It matches the Rfam family "Bacterial small subunit ribosomal RNA", at positions 355 to 776 of the family's 1533-position model. The record is from RNAcentral. Lineage: Bacteria; Pseudomonadati; Bacteroidota.
UAGGGAAUCUUCGGCAAUGGGGGGAACCCUGACCGAGCAACGCCGCGUGAGUGAAGAAGGUUUUCGGAUCGUAAAGCUCUGUUGUUAAGGAAGAACGAGUGUGAGAAUGGAAAGUUCAUGCUGUGAAGGUACUUAACCAGAAAGGGACGGCUAACUACGUGCCAGCAGCCGCGGUAAUACGUAGGUCCCGAGCGUUGUCCGGAUUUAUUGGGCGUAAAGCGAGCGCAGGCGGUUAGAAAAGUCUGAAGUGAAAGGCAGUGGCUCAACCAUUGUAGGCUUUGGAAACUGUUUAACUGGAGUGCAGAAGGGGAGAGUGGAAUUCCAUGUGUAGCGGUGAAAUGCGUAGAUAUAUGGAGGAACACCGGUGGCGAAAGCGGCUCUCUGGUCUAUAACUGACGAUGAGGCUCGAAAGCGUGGGGAGCGAACAGG